Long non-coding RNA from Vespula vulgaris, 2821 nucleotides. RefSeq lists it as uncharacterized. The transcript has 2 exons. The record is from RefSeq and is a predicted model, not a curated record. Lineage: Eukaryota; Metazoa; Arthropoda; Insecta; Hymenoptera; Vespidae.
AUUAUCAUUGGAAUAAAUUUUUAAAUCGUUUCGUUGUAGAAUCAACUGAGUCAAAAAAGUAAGGUUAGAUUUUUAUCGUUUUGAUUGUUAAUCAUAUCUUUUAUAGAAUAAACGAUCAUCAAAUUAAUCUUCGUGAGAAUAUUAUUCUAAUCUAUGUAUCCAAUAUAAUCUGUUUAAUAUCUACGUGUCUAAAUAUAAUCCAUAUAAUUAAAAUUGUAAAGAAAAAGAAAAAAAAAAGAAAAGAAAAAAAAGAAUAUCAUUGGAAUAAAUUCUUAGAUUGUUUCGUUAUAAAAUGAAAUGAAUAUUCGAUAAUACGUGGAAAAUUACAAGAAGAGCUAGUGAAGUUCCCUCGAGUCAUCGUUCCGACACUUGUUGAAUUUCCAUUCAUAGUACGAGUGUGUACACUUCUCUCCUACACCACUAACCAUUAUGGAGGACAUUAAAAUACGAUCGAAGUUAGACCUCGUUUAACUACUCUACUUAAAAUACUUUAUGGAAAGACACGAUAGCAUAUCUCUCAUUACCAUCUCAUUACCAUUGUAUUCAUUUCUCUCUUUGGUUCUUUGUUUUCUUUUUAUUUUAUUUUAUUCCAUUUUUUUUAUUUCUCUCUUUCGAAAAUUAUAAUUUCUAAUUUACGAAACGUUGUUUUUGUUGUUACGCAUAAAAAAAAAUCGUAAUUUGAAUUUUUCCAAACUAUUCCAUCGAGUCGUGUCAAACUCGACGUAUCCAACGAAUACAAAAUAUAAAAUAAAGCUCGAUAUUAAUAAACAAAAUAUAUAUAUAUGUAGUAAUACAUAUAUAGUAAUAAUGGUUCUCAAUCAUUUUUAUUCUUUUUUUAAAAUAAUAAUUAUCGUAUUUUUAUUAAUAUAAAAAAUUAAUGAGAUAAUAGAACAUGGUGUAAUGUAUGUUAUCUAAAAAAAAAAAGAAAUAAGAUCCGAAUGAGUAUAUAUAUAUAUAUAUAUAAAGUUAUGAUAAUCUAAUCUAAUCUAAUAUUAUAUAUUAUAUAUAAAUAGUACUAUAUAUGUAUACAUUAUAGUUAGCUACAUUAGUACUACAUACAACACACACACAUAUAUCAUAUUUGCAUUUACAAAAAAAAGAAUUCGUUUCUAAAACAAUACAUAACAAUAUGUAUAACGUAUAAUGUAAGUAGUCGAAGAGAAAUAAUACAAGAGUCGAUAAUAGUAUAACCAUAGUAUACCCCAUAAGAGAAUAUUUAUAGAAAGCACGUUUUUCAUUCCGCCGGAAUGAAAAAGCUGCUCGGCUUCACAGCGAAGGCACGUAUAGCCAAUAAAUCGAUAGGACGAUAAAGUAUCGAUAUGGAAAAUUCUGCCUAUCAUAGGCGACGGGACGAGAGUUCCGAAUAUCAUCUUUCACAUCUUGUCAAACACGAUCUCCAUCUCGUUGGCCAGGAGAAUACGAAAUUCAUUCGUAUCUCGAUCACAGUAUACACAAUCAUCAGUCAAUUUUUAUUUUUAUUACGUAACUGUGUUAUUUCGUAUGCAUGUAUAUAUAUAUAUAGUAUGUGUAUAUAAAUUUCUCUUCAAAAUCUUGUUCUUUUUUAACUUUCCAUUGUACCAUUGAUCGAUGAAUCGAUUUUAUUGAAAAAAAUUCCCCACAAAUCGAACAAUAUUCCAUUGACGAAAUACUUCUUAGAUUCAAUGAUUUUCGUUGAUGAAGCAUAUCGCAGAUCAACAUUAUUUUCAUCUACGACUUAUUUCCCGAUAGAUCAUUUCCAUUGACGACAUUUUUCGUAGAAACAUUAUUUCUCCAUAGAUCGUAAUUAUUUUCAUUAAUGAUCUCUAUAGAUCUAUGUAUUAAAUUAUAUUUUAUUUCAAAAAUUCUCUAUAGAUCGAUAUUAAUUUCGUUGAACGAUAUUCUUCGAUAUCAUUACGAAGAAUUUUCGUUAGGUUAGAAUUUCACCGUAGAUCAAACGUAAUCGAUUGUCAUUGAUUCACUCAUAAAUCGAUAUUAUUUGUAUAUCGAUAAAAAUUCAUCAUAGAAAUAUCGAACUAAAUUACCGUUGACUAAAUUUGACGCAGAAUGAAAGUUAUUUUCGUUAUUGAACGUCACACUUGCCUUGAUAAAUUCUUUUUAUCGAUGAACAAAAAAAAAAAGAAGAGAAGAAGAAGAACAAGAACAAGUAUAAGAAAAAGAACAAGUUUAAGAAAAAGAACAAGAGAAGGAAGAAGAAGAUGAAAAGAAAAAAUAAAAUGUCAACGUAGCAUGGAAAGGGUUAUUAUUUUCCAUUUACGUACAUAAAUGCAUACAUAAAUAUUUACAUGCAUACUUACGGGAAAAGAUAAUGGAAUGGCGUUGACGAGGCCGUAAAGAGAACAGCACAAUACAAACCAUUAAGAAUCUUCAAGAUCCUUCAAAAGGGAAAGAAAGAGAAAUAAAAAGAGAAAAAAGAGAGAAAGAGAGAAAGAAAGAAAGAAAGAAAGCGACAAACAAAGAAAUGAUAGAAUCUUAUUGUUAGAUACGACAAGAAAGAAGAUAGUACAUAUUGACAGUAGAUCAGGGCUAAGUACGCACGAAGGUGUAAUAAAUUCCCUCAAAGAAACUCCUUCGGGAGCUUCUCUCAUUCCAUUUUCCUCACUAUCUACACAAGCAAUAUAUAUAUAUAUAUAUAUAUACAUAUAUAUAUACAUAUGUAUAUGCAUAUAUAUAUAUAUAUGUAUAUGUAACACAUGAUGAGGUUGUCACGCAUGAGCGCGUGACCGCUCAUUUGGAGCACUUGGAUGUAUUUUUAGACUUUCUCUCUCUCUCUCUCUCUCUCUCUCUCUCUCUCUCUCUCUCUCUCUCUCUCUCUCUCUCUUUC